GCUCUCGCUCUCGCUCGCUCUCGCACACACACACACACACACACACGCGCGCACACGCGUGCACACGCAUGCACGCGCGCACACACACGCACACACAGGCACACACAAACACACCCGCCCGCUCGGCUCCGCUCCCGAGCUGCCUCAGCAAGGAGGAGCCCGGACGGAAAACACCCGGGCAGCAAGGAGACUGAGAAGAGAGGGGACCCUGGAUGUCAGUCCAUUCUCCGUUUUUUGUUUGUCUUGACUUUGAGGCAGAUUUCCUCUUUCAGCUCUGGAAACUGACAGUGUCCACCCCUAGAUGUUUGCUUGCCCAACCUUCUACAGGAACUACAGAAAGUCCUGCUCAUCCUGCUCAUCCCUGAUGGCUGGGAUUGUACAGUCAAAACGCUCUACAGAAUAAAUGUUCACUUAUAUUUUUAUGUAUUUAUUCUGACAGCUACAUUCUGAGCUUUUUUAGAGUCCUGGUUUGAGGGAAGUGGGUGCAAUCUCACUCAAAUAAUCAUUCUCCAAUACCAUUAGCAUUACCUGCCAAAAAUGAGAGUGGCAUAUGAAUCACAGUAAGCCACUCAUGAAUUUGUGGAUUUAGAGCCUGCCAAGGAACACCAGAAAUCCACAUGAUUUCAAAGUCCCACGACUUUUAGGGACUUUGAAUAAUAUGUAAAAGCACAUUUAUCCAAAGACCAUCAUACUGAUGACCCAUCCUGUAAGGACCACAGACAUAACCAAUUCAAGUGAAGGAUGAUAUUAACUGAAACUUUUUCUGUUCCAGUGUUUCUCUUUCAAGUGAGGUAGUGAAAGUGGUCAAUCUGCUAAUUGAAACUAUGUCAGAGGCCCUUUCUGGGAUGCCCCUUAUUGAAGUGCUACUGUGACAUACUGAUGUGGCAAUACGCGUUUGUGUGAGAAGAGCUAUUGGAUCCUCUGGGAAAUAUCACAGAUGCUUUCCAGUUCCUUUCAGACAUGUAAAUAUCUUUAUGUUUAGACAUGAGUAGAGAAGGGUGGGAAGUGAAGUAGAGCAAGGAGUAGAGUGGGGUUAAAAGCAUCCACACAGAUCCAGGAACCAAAUAAAUAUAUGUGGGUUGGGGUUUUUUUUUUUGUAUCUGACGUUAGCUGGGGCUUGAAUUGAAAUGUUCAUUACUGAGAAGACACAUUAAAUCAACGUGUGCAUACUUGAGAGUUAUGUUGACCCAAUGUUGAUAGAGAAGGCCAUCUUCUGCCUCAAGUUAUAGAUGAUCAACAGAACUCUCAGUAAUGCUCAGAUACUUAUGUUGUUCCCAAGUAAUAUGUACCUUAUCAAGUAUGGUUUAUUUUCAGCUUGUAGUACAUGGCUAAUGCUAUAGCAGUGAAAAACACGAAAUGCCAUCUAGCACUUCUUAUGAUUGCUUGGUUUUUACAUGGUUUGUUUUUAGCUAAGCACAUCAGAAAUUGGAAAUAAUGUUUGAGUCUUUUUUCCCUCUUAACUUACAAACCCAGAAGCCUAGGUUUUGUAAUCUAUUUAUUGUUAGUACUUGUGAAGCACAGUGAUAAAACCUGCUUAGUAGCAUGGUCUACAUGUAGCUGUCUUAGCAGCUUGAUGAUUUGGUCUGAGUAACUAUGUUCCAACCUGUAUUAGCAUUAUCUGUCAUAGAUGAAAAGGGCAGUGAACAAACCAUUCUGGAGUGGCCUCCUGUGCAUAUGUUAAAUGCAAGUGGCCAUCAUUAGCUGUACCAUAACUUUAUCUGAUGUUUCAUCUUGCUGGUGCCUCAGUGGAAGACACUCAGAUGACUUUUUCUGAAUGUGGCAGCUGCUUUCAGUGUAUUUCUGUAGUCUUGGUUAUUCUAUUCUUUGUUGGUUAAACACCAAUCAUCUCCUGAACUUAGGCCUAUGCCAUCUCACUAUCUGAAUGUCUGUCCAGAAAGUUUGUCCACUGAAAUGUGUAUCAUGUCAAUAAUAACAAAUUCAUCUGUCCAGCUUACCUUUCCUCCAGUCAUUCAUUGAAGGUUCAUGUUUCCAGGCCCUGGUGCUACACGGUACCUCAGUCCAUUCAGCUUCUCUCCAAAAUGGUAACUACUUUCUGCUUCACAUCUCUGUUACAGGAGGUCUUUUGAUCACCUAAAAAAGUAAACUGCAUCCUGUACAUGUCCUCUUAAAAAUUCUGCUUUAUGGAAGAGAAGAUCAAUUCGUUGCAGGUGUGUCAGUGAUAUCAGACUCACUUCUGUUUUGCCUGACUGCCCUCUCUAUCUUCUGUCAGUCUAAAAUUACCAUUUUUGAAAGGAUUGAAGGAGUUGUAUUAAUAUUUGUGAACCACUUUUCGUGCACAUUGUCUCUGCUUUUCUCCUUCCCUUUGGUGUCUGGUUUGUCUUGGCUGCUUUUACAAAUUCUGUUGCCUGUAGUGAGGGACUGCCAGAUUAAACCAGUGAAGAGAAACCAGGUGACUGUCUACUUCUACAAAUACAGGUUGUGUAUAAUAAAUUCAGGUUUUACAUCUAUGCAAAUUACAUCAUCAUAUGAUUAUGACUACAUGCAUUUUUUAUCAAAUAUGGCAUAUAUUUCUCAAAUUAUAUUUAACUUGUCGUUACAUUGCUAUUCUGAAUACCUAACUAGGAGUUACAAGGUGUGCCACCAGAUCUUAGUAAAUAGGCUUAUGAAAACAGAAUAAAUAAGGGAAAAAUCACCUUUUUUUGUUGUAUUCCUGGUAAGUCCAGUGAAAAGCUUUUCCUGCUAUAGGUGAUAAUAUAUAUAAACACUUCACCACAGAGCUAUUUAGAGACACAAGUAUACCUUGGUAUUAGAAAUUUUGUAAAGGUAGAGAUUUUGUAAAGGCCUAAACAAAACAUGCCCAGAAUAAGGAAGUUUUAAAGCAACGUGUCUUUGGUCUGGAGUUUACUGCAUCUAGUUAGUUAGAAACUAGUUAGAAAAUAGGAUUUAGCACAAUUCUUCCUUUGAGGUUUAUCAACAGACAGUGCAGUUUUAGUGUAAAGCCCUAAGCCUUGCAAUGAUCCCAACCUUAGGUGCACCAUACUUUGAAUAAUCUGUCAGCUGAGCUAUGGCAAGGAUUAUGCUGUGAAGGUAACAACUCAAUGCUUUCAAUGUUAACUGUCCUCAACAACUGUUGCUGGUUUUCUCAUAAAUAAAAAGAUAUUUU
This 3124-nucleotide long non-coding RNA is filed under the name Strigops habroptila (Kakapo). RNAcentral's name for it is "lncRNA (ENSSHBG00005002105.1)". Lineage: Eukaryota; Metazoa; Chordata; Aves; Psittaciformes; Psittacidae. The record is from RNAcentral.